UUUUAGAGUUUGAUCCUGGCUCAGAUUGAACGCUGGCGGCAGGCCUAACACAUGCAAGUCGAGCGGUAACAGAGAGAAGCUUGCUUCUCUGCUGACGAGCGGCGGACGGGUGAGUAAUACUUGGGAAUUUGCCUUUAGGCGGGGGACAACCACGGGAAACUGUGGCUAAUACCGCAUAAUGUCUACGGACCAAAGUGGGGGACCUUCGGGCCUCACACCUAAAGAUGAGCCCAAGCGGGAUUAGCUAGUUGGUGGGGUAAAGGCUCACCAAGGCUACGAUCCCUAGCUGUUCUGAGAGGAUGAUCAGCCACACUGGGACUGAGACACGGCCCAGACUCCUACGGGAGGCAGCAGUGGGGAAUAUUGCACAAUGGGGGAAACCCUGAUGCAGCCAUGCCGCGUGUGUGAAGAAGGCCUUCGGGUUGUAAAGCACUUUCAGCGACGAGGAAGGGUGUUGUAUUAAUAGUGCAGCACAGAGACGUUAUGCGCAGAAGAGCACCGC
Molecule: ribosomal RNA, 502 nt
Filed under: Idiomarina loihiensis
Lineage: Bacteria; Pseudomonadati; Pseudomonadota; Gammaproteobacteria; Alteromonadales; Idiomarinaceae
Description: bacterial SSU rRNA
Rfam family: Bacterial small subunit ribosomal RNA
Source: RNAcentral